CUUUGCUAUUUUCAUUUUUAAAAUAGGCAUUGGGGUCCCUUCUUGUUCCUCCUUUUCCUUUCCUAUCCCAAUGCCUAUUUUAAAAUGAAAACAACGAUA
Molecule: non-coding RNA, 99 nt
Organism: Glycine soja
Lineage: Eukaryota; Viridiplantae; Streptophyta; Magnoliopsida; Fabales; Fabaceae
Source: Rfam